Long non-coding RNA from Bemisia tabaci, 1982 nucleotides. RefSeq lists it as uncharacterized. Lineage: Eukaryota; Metazoa; Arthropoda; Insecta; Hemiptera; Aleyrodidae. The record is from RefSeq and is a predicted model, not a curated record.
UCGACCCGAGGUUAAGGUAAUGAUGUGCUUUUUAAACGAACUGAGGUUUAACGAUCCAAUCUCACGAAAACUACGGUCCUUUCAGAAUCAUCAGAAGUAAAUUGGUUUCAAGUGUUAACUGACAAGUUUACUGUGUGGCGUUUCACCCAUUCGCGUUCACGUUAACCGCGGGUCUCUCAAACAAUUUUGCCAUUCGAUAGACUGGAAACGAUUCCCUGUUUCGGACAUAAUUCAGCUGAAUGUAGCAGGUCCGAUCUCGCCAGAAAGAAAAUCCUGUAACCAUGCUGCGUGUGUUCGUUUUUUUGCUCCUGACUGUGAUGACAUCCUUCAUCAUGCCUCAUAAUGCCCUGGAAGCAAGCCCCCCCUGCCUACCACUUGAUACGCCAUGUAACGUCCCCCAAGGUUCAGGCGAUCCACCUUGUUGUGCGGGGUUACAUUGCGCGGUAUCUACAGGAAGUUUUACAACUUGUUCGCCCUGAGAAAAAAAAAAAAAUGGUUACAGGGACUGAUCUUCGGUACGUACUGAAAACCAAACUUUUUUUUUCGGUAAUCGAAUUUUCCGGUCAUAGGAACCGAAUUUUGGUUUCUUGAACCUGGAUUCGCUUUUUGUGACCGAAAACUUCUGUUACCUGAUAACCGAAAAACUGGCGUUCAAAAUGAAUCGAACUUUUGUUAUUCGAAUAGAAUACCCACUGCACAGCUAAACUUGUUUCGCUCUGUCAGAAACUGAGACACCAAACAAAUCGCUAAAAUAGCAGAUCAUUUAAUUGCAAAUUUACCAUUUUGACAUUUGCUGUACCCACAAAAUUAAAUUGGAAAAUAGUGAAUUAAUUUCGUCAAUUGUUUUUUUUUUUUAUUCUCAACGUAGUAAAUUAUAAUUAACAAUUAAUAAAAAAAUGUAAAAUUAUGGAUCUGUCAGUUUUCCUUGAAUUUCAAUGUACUCAGAUGGUAUCCCGAAAGCAAUCGCAAGUUUCUUGCGAUUUUUAAAUGAAAUCGAUGACCUCUUAAUCAUUAAUGCACAUCAAGGUGAUAUUAAUCGAUGAAUAUACUAUUCAAAAGGAGACUGACAAGGCCAAGAUAGAUGGGGAUCAGGAUUCAAAACAAGAGCUCGACAAAUAAAUAAUUAACGGUAAUAAAUUAUAGUGUAGCGCAAAUAAACUUGAAUAGCUCCAAAAAAGGAAAUAUCUGUUUACAUUACUCUUAAGUUUAAAUUCUCAAAAUGAUUGAAAAAUUUUAAUUUUUCUUCAUGAAUGCCUUCUUGAAGAAAAGAAAAGAUAAGUCAUCUUCUCUCGAACGAGGGGCUGUUAAGAACAGUCAAAAAUAAGUAGUGACAUAUCAGUAGCAGCAAAUCAGCUGAACGAAUUGAUGAAAAGUCAAAGGCGAAACUAGGAACUUUUCGUUGGGGCCUAAAGGGUACCUCAAAGGGGAGGGGGUCUCAGGGGGCACAAAAAACAUCCAACCAAGGGGGGUUUGCUUAUGUCUGGGGACUCUCCUGGCGCCGAAGGAGGGUUCGAGGAAUUUUCCUAGUUUUACAGGGGACCGGAAAAUUUCGAAAGAUUGAGUAAUCUCGUAAGCAAUGAGCUUUUCUCACCGAAAAAUUGAUCGAAUUCCCAUUUUCAAGAUGAAAAAUACGUCAUGUACUCUCUAUGCAAAAUUCUUCACAUUUCUUUGGAGGGGCUAUGAAAAUUUCUGAGAGAGUCAGCCCUCUCGACCCCCUUUCCGCCCAUGACCAAUCGACCUAAGUAGAAUUUGCUUACUAAAAUAAGAAAAAUUAUAAUUGGUUAUUUCAAAAAACAACUUACAUUGCUAACUGAAUAUCUUCCAAAUGCCAACACUGCAACUGACUUAUUUCUUUUGUAACCAGGUAAGCCAAUGCUCGGUUAUAGUUUCAAACAUUUAGUUUUAUAUAAUUUUAUAAAAAAUGUGUUGCUAAUUUAGCAAACGGAUGUUUAUUGGUAAAUGAUUAAAAACUAACCAACUGA